AGUGGCGCACGGGUGAGUAACGCGUGGGAACCUGCCUUUUCUGCGGGAUAACGGUUGGAAACGACCGCUAAUACCGCAUACGCCCUACGGGGGAAAGGUCCGCCGGAGAAAGAGGGGCCCGCGUCUGAUUAGCUAGUUGGUGGGGUAACGGCCUACCAAGGCGACGAUCAGUAGCUGGUCUGAGAGGAUGAUCAGCCACACUGGGACUGAGACACGGCCCAGACUCCUACGGGAGGCAGCAGUGGGGAAUAUUGGACAAUGGGGGCAACCCUGAUCCAGCAAUGCCGCGUGUGUGAUGAAGGCCUUAGGGUUGUAAAGCACUUUCACUGGUGAAGAUGAUGACGGUAACCAGAGAAGAAGCCCCGGCUAACUUCGUGCCAGCAGCCGCGGUAAUACGAAGGGGGCGAGCGUUGUUCGGAAUUACUGGGCGUAAAGGGCGCGUAGGCGGUCUUUUAAGUUAGGCGUGAAAUCCCCGGGCUCAACCUGGGAACUGCGCUUAAGACUGGAAGACUAGAAAACGGAAGAGGGUAGUGGAAUUCCCAGUGUAGAGGUGAAAUUCGUAGAUAUUGGGAAGAACACCAGUGGCGUAAGCGGCUACCUGGUCCGAUUUUGACGCUGAGGCGCGAAAGCGUGGGGAGCGAACAGGAUUAGAUACCCUGGUAGUCCACGCCGUAAACGAUGUCUGCUAGAUGUCGGGGGGUUACCCCUCGGUGUCGCCGCUAACGUCAUUAAACAGACCGCCUGGG
This 746-nucleotide ribosomal RNA is filed under the name uncultured marine bacterium. RNAcentral describes it as "bacterial SSU rRNA". It matches the Rfam family "Bacterial small subunit ribosomal RNA", at positions 94 to 877 of the family's 1533-position model. The record is from RNAcentral.